Triticum aestivum (bread wheat) is the source of this 2385-nucleotide RNA transcript. RefSeq lists it as uncharacterized. Lineage: Eukaryota; Viridiplantae; Streptophyta; Magnoliopsida; Poales; Poaceae. The transcript has 4 exons. The record is from RefSeq and is a predicted model, not a curated record.
GGGACAUCAAGUCAAAAGAGGAGAACCCUCAUAAGAACAUCUUACAUAGUUUCAAGAAGAAACUAGCAGGCCACCGGCCGCCGGCGGCGGCUGUCCUGCAUGCAUGUGUUUAUAGAAAUGAGCGUGUGUAUGAGUCGUAUGCGACUGUACUGUGUUAAAACAAACUCAGUCCUGGCCUUUGGCGCCGCCGCUACCUGGCCGGAGGCCGUCGUCCAGUGCCUCCUCUUCGUCCUCGCCGCGGGUAUGCUCGUGGCCCUCCACUCCCUCCCUCGUCGAGUUGCCCAUCGUCUCCGCCGCGGCGCCAGCGGCUCCUCGGCCGCUCAAUCGCGCCGGCACUUCGCGCUGGGUGCCCAGCUCCUCGCCCGCGCGCGAGCAGCUGCUGCGAAGCCCCCGGGCCCGCUCGCCCGCGCGGCCCUCGCCGAGGCCGACCGCGCCAUCGCGCUCGACCCCCGCGACGCAGCGCCGCUGAUCCUCAAGGCCCUCGCCCUCGACCUCCAGGGUCACCGCCUCCCCGCGCUGCGCACCCUCGACGUCGCCUUGGCGCCGCCGCUCGCGCGAUCCCUGGAACCGCGGGAGCGCGGGGACGCGCUCGCCAAGCGCGCCGAGAUCGCGCUAGCGCUUAACCGCCGCCGCCGCCUCGACCAGGCCGCCGCGGAUCUCACCGAGGCCGUGCGCCUUAGCCCCGAGAACCCCCGCGCUCAUGCUCUGCUUGGCGAGUGCUACGAGAGGAAGGGCCUCACUGCCGAAGCCAGGAACUCCUUCAAGACCGCCGCGUCAAUCGACCCAUCUCUGGCUACUGCGCACGACGGCCUCCGUCGGACAGGCGCAGGCAGCGAAGUCAACGAGAGUGACUGAUGACUCGUUUUUAUAUUGUUAUAUAUUUGGGGGUGGAACGAACGAUCCCCUUCAAGACUAAAUAUGGUACAUUAAGGCUUUCUUUUCCUGCUAGAGCUCAGAUGGCGAAUCUUUGUCAUGUAGACAUGUACAGAGGACUAGAACAAUCAUAUCAGUCAUGAUAUAAUUUGUAGUGCACAUAGGGGAAUUUAUUGAGUGUGGUGUUUCUGCAAUACAGGUACACAAUCCAUCUCCACAGCCAUAGGGCAACAAAGUUAAUCAGUUAAUUGUAUCUUUGAUUCUCGCAUUCUACUCUUGGAUGCCUUUAUUAGCAUUUGUUUCACAAAUAAUGGAUUUAUUUCUUUUCUCAUCAUCCUUUUUUUGGAAAAAAAACUUGUAAGGGGACCCCAAACCUAUAGAUAGAAACCUAAAAUUUGCCUGUUCAUCCUUAUUUGUCACUGUUGCAAGGGUGAUCUGUCAGGACCCUACUGAACCAGUAUCUAUAUCAUAUAAGGAAGAUACCGAUUCAGUUAUCUGACGGUAGAACUACUUCGAGCACCAGAUGGAUGAAUGGCUUUGAUCCAUUUUACUUAGUCGCAUUUACUUCAGUUGAUACUGUUUUACUCUGAACUUUCACUAGUCAUUGUUUAUCUUCCUCACCAUUGUAAGCCAGGCUGGCUAUAUGUAUUCUGUUUGAUGCUUGAAUGAGUAGUAAGAAAGGAGGUAAACUAAUUUCUCUAGUGUACCGUAGCUAGAUUUUGCUCCUCCUUCAGGCAAGAUUCCUCGUUCAAUCCCUUAAUCGGGGACGAACCUAUCCAAAAUUCCCCACUUGCGUCUCAGUCCUUACAUGACUCCCUCUGAUCCUACUCACAUUUCUGUUGACAUGAUCCCAUUUUAUCCUAUGAAGGAGAAAACCGGUGCAUGAAUCAUGCAUUUUAUUUAACCUUGACCAUACAGAAGGUCAGAAAGAGCAUGUUUGCAUAGUUACUGUACUACUACCUCCAUUCCAAAAUAUAAGGCAUUUUGGUAGACUAGUUUAGCAUGCCAAAACGUCUUAUAUUUUAGAACGGAGGUAGUACAAAUUAAUGCCUACAUGCAUCCUGGCAGUAUUCAACAGGCCUGGCAGUUCAUUUCUUUGCUAGCACGGACGAUCUCUGUUAUCUGCGCUACAAAUUGCAGGCAAAGGACAUAGCAGCUCACUCUGAAGCUGAGUUAUAUUCAGAGCUGUAUCAAGUAGGACGUCAGGUUGGUGACAUUUCGUCCAACCUCUACCAGAGUGUUGCUGCUCAACUCUGGUUCAACAACUGCAGGCAUGCAGCACUAUGUUGGCGAAACAUAGCAGAAACUGACUGGUGUUGUGCCAAAUGAUCAAAGCAUUGGCUGGUUUGCUGAAACAGAAUAUUGCUCUCAUGCUCUGUGUCCCGUAAAAAGAAAGAUUGGUAACAUCUCGUCAAGUUAUUGUGCAAUCACUGGUUUUGUGACGUUGUGAUGAUGUUGGGCAGUUACAUGUUGUGUGGACUGCUACUUUUUUAAUGGGGUUUCAUCCGUCUA